This is a long non-coding RNA of Leopardus geoffroyi (Geoffroy's cat), 696 nucleotides long. RefSeq lists it as uncharacterized. The transcript has 3 exons. NCBI's taxonomy places the organism in Eukaryota, Metazoa, Chordata, Mammalia, Carnivora, Felidae. The record is from RefSeq and is a predicted model, not a curated record.
UGGGAUUGGAAAAGAAUCUACAUAGAAGCUAAGGAUCUGAAAGUAUCAGCAUCAGUAAAGGAAACUUGAACCCUUGGAAUGUCUUUGUGUACCCUCUGGUGUGUUUAUGCCCAACCUUGUGUGAAGACCAUGCUCCAUGCCACACUGUUGACUUGGCAGUCCAGUUAAAACGAAUCAACAGAAACUAUGUGAAUGCUGUUGCAACUGCAAGCCAUAUUACGUAAUCUCCUAUUUCACCCUAAAACAGAAAAAAACACAGUCGAGCCCCUUUCCUGGGGAGAUGGUAACCAUAUUCUGUUCAUAACCCUCAUGUGAAUCCACUGCCCAUUGGUGAUGAAAGUGAAUAGAGAGAACCUGGGAUCACUUCCGAGGCCCUGAGACCACAGCACUGGUUUGGAUUGUUACUCUGGACACGGAUGAGAAAAGUGCACGGGACAUCAAGCUCACCUUCUUUACUUGUAUCAAAUGAUGACCAGUGUACUGAUCUUCCAUUCCUUUGCUUGUGGAAGAAGAUUGGCAUAAAUAAAUUAACUAACUAACUUAGAUUGGUCGCAGGAAAGAAAAGCCCAAGAAACCAACCAAACAAAAAACCCAGUAGAGAGCCAGCUGGUAGGGGACUAGCUGUGUUUCCAAUUUGCUUCACUUGAAUAUUUUUAAGCUUCCCUAGGCCUUACUGUCUUCAUCUAUAAUAUGAGG